Molecule: long non-coding RNA, 1282 nt
Filed under: Bemisia tabaci
Lineage: Eukaryota; Metazoa; Arthropoda; Insecta; Hemiptera; Aleyrodidae
Description: lncRNA ENSSSA2NGG000800
Source: RNAcentral
AUUUAAUAAUCGUUUUGCAAAAAAAAAAAAAAAAAAUUCUAAGGUUUCUUUUCUGGCAAGAAUUAUUACUGAAAUCAAGAAUCGCACAUUUUACUUUCAGAGGCAAAUAGAAGUCGGCACCUUGAUAGAACUGUACCGAGAUGCUUUAAAUGGUAUGAUUGAUGAAGUCUGGACGGAAGAUCAAAUUUUGAAGGUGCAUAGUAUCGUAAAAACGCUGAAAAAGCAGUAAUUGGUUCUGCGCAAUAUGCUUUGAGCAUACAGGGUGUCAUGGUUAACGUGCAUAUGCUCGAAAACUUGCUCAAUAUUGUUGAUAAAUGCUGUGAGUCGCCAUUAAGUGAGCCAUUAGUAGUAGAAUGUGUUGCAACAAUAUCUGCCAUAUUAGUCGGUGCCUCGUUGGGAAAGGAAAAGAUGCAACGAAUUGAUGGUUAUAGUAUGCUUUUCUCAUCUCUUUACAAAAUUGGGAACCCUGGUCGAAGUCUCCUCGAAGCUGUGUUAUCAAUUGCCAUCGAAAAUUACUCACUUGAAGAAUCCAGCUGUUUGAAGAACUGUGAAGUGCUUAUAUUUAUCAUUAAGUGGAUAAUCAAAUUCAAUGAGCCAGAUCAGAUAUGGUUGUCUCGAAUUCUCUGCCAGCUGUGUACAAAAAAUUUACAAAGCAAAAGCAAAGCAACUAGUAGUGGCGCUGUCUUAGCAAUAUUGAACUGUUUGACUGAACAUGAUUCUUUAACGGAAACUGCUGCAAAUGACCUUAUAGCAUUCUUAGAAGCCCUUGUAUCACACUCUGUCACUGUUGCUGAGUUAAAACAUAUUUUUCUGCUUCUGAGGGAUGAUGGUAACACCAAGUGUCCGUAUUGGGAAAGACUGUACCACGCUCUGUGUAACAUAGCACGGAACAGUUGCCAGCAGCAAACUUGUCAUAAUUAUUUUGACAUCCAAUCUGCCUCAGGUAAUCCAUGCAAUCUUUCAUAACUUGUUCAAAAUUCCCAAUCAUUUCGUCAGCUUCUGGCCAAAGUAUCACAAGCACCAUGUGACGUCUAAAAAUGUCCGCUGCUAUUUCAUUUUUUUACGGAGAAAUUAUUGGUUGAAUCUAUUUGAAAAUUUCACUUAAUUUUAUCGGCAGCGCAAAGAGAAUUCAGUGAAAUUUUCGGAAAGUUUUGUUGAACAAUUUCUCUGUAAAAAAUAAAAUGGCGGCGGAAAUUUUUGAACGUCGCAUGGCGCUUGUGAUACUUUGGCCGGAAGGUGACAAUUUCAUAAACAUGAGGAGCCAGUUGACGCCAUCAGGGUG